RNAcentral lists this ribosomal RNA (226 nucleotides) under uncultured Eubacteriales bacterium. Its description in RNAcentral is "uncultured Clostridiales bacterium partial 16S ribosomal RNA". It matches the Rfam family "Bacterial small subunit ribosomal RNA", at positions 1157 to 1382 of the family's 1533-position model. Lineage: Bacteria; Bacillati; Bacillota; Clostridia; Eubacteriales. The record is from RNAcentral.
ACAAAAUCGGAGGAAGUGGGGAUGACGUCAAAUCAUCAUGCCCUUUAUGUCCUGGGCUACACACGUGCUACAAUGGUCGGUACAACGAGAAGCAAGCCAGCGAUGGCAAGCAAAUCUCUAAAAAGCCGAUCCCAGUUCGGAUUGCAGGCUGCAACUCGCCUGCAUGAAGUCGGAGUUGCUAGUAAUCGCGGAUCAGAAUGCCGCGGUGAAUGCGUUCCCGGGUCUU